RNAcentral lists this ribosomal RNA (478 nucleotides) under uncultured bacterium. RNAcentral's name for it is "partial 16S ribosomal RNA". It matches the Rfam family "Bacterial small subunit ribosomal RNA", at positions 28 to 523 of the family's 1533-position model. The record is from RNAcentral.
GACGAACGCUGGCGGCGUGCUUAACACAUGCAAGUCGAACGGUAAGGCCCUUCGGGGUACACGAGUGGCGAACGGGUGAGUAACACGUGGGUGAUCAGCCCUGCACUUCGGGAUAAGCCUGGGAAACUGGGUCUAAUACCGGAUAGGACCACUGCCUGCAUGGGUGGUGGUGGAAAGCUUUUGCGGUGUGGGAUGGGCACGCGGCCUAUCAGCUUGUUGGUGGGGUGAUGGCCUACCAAGGCGACGACGGGUAGCCGGCCUGAGAGGGUGACCGGCCACACUGGGACUGAGAUACGGCCCAGACUCCUACGGGAGGCAGCAGUGGGGAAUAUUGCACAAUGGGCGCAAGCCUGAUGCAGCGACGCCGCGUGAGGGAUGACGGCCUUCGGGUUGUAAACCUCUUUCAGCACCGACGAAGCGCAAGUGACGGUAGGUGCAGAAGAAGGACCGGCCAACUACGUGCCAGCCGCCGCAGUAA